This 90-nucleotide non-coding RNA is filed under the name Pseudomonas baetica. Lineage: Bacteria; Pseudomonadati; Pseudomonadota; Gammaproteobacteria; Pseudomonadales; Pseudomonadaceae. The record is from RNAcentral.
UGUGGGAGCGGGCUUGCUCGCGAACGCGGCGUAUCAGUCGACAUCGAUGUUGAAUCUGAAGACGCCUUCGCGAGCAAGCCCGCUCCCACA